UGGAAACGGUAGCUAAUACCGCAUAACGUCGCAAGACCAAAGUGGGGGACCUUCGGGCCUCACACCAUCGGAUGUGCCCAGAUGGGAUUAGCUAGUAGGUGGGGUAAUGGCUCACCUAGGCGACGAUCCCUAGCUGGUCUGAGAGGAUGACCAGCCACACUGGAACUGAGACACGGUCCAGACUCCUACGGGAGGCAGCAGUGGGGAAUAUUGCACAAUGGGCGCAAGCCUGAUGCAGCCAUGCCGCGUGUAUGAAGAAGGCCUUCGGGUUGUAAAGUACUUUCAGCGGGGAGGAAGGCGGUGAGGUUAAUAACCUCACCGAUUGACGUUACCCGCAGAAGAAGCACCGGCUAACUCCGUGCCAGCAGCCGCGGUAAUACGGAGGGUGCAAGCGUUAAUCGGAAUUACUGGGCGUAAAGCGCACGCAGGCGGUCUGUCAAGUCGGAUGUGAAAUCCCCGGGCUUAACCUGGGAACUGCAUUCGAAACUGGCAGGCUAGAGUCUUGUAGAGGGGGGUAGAAUUCCAGGUGUAGCGGUGAAAUGCGUAGAGAUCUGGAGGAAUACCGGUGGCGA
Molecule: ribosomal RNA, 572 nt
Filed under: uncultured bacterium
Lineage: Bacteria
Description: bacterial SSU rRNA
Rfam family: Bacterial small subunit ribosomal RNA
Source: RNAcentral